UUCAUCUUCACCAGAUUUUAAGCACAAGUAUACUGGUGAAAACCUUUGGCUGAGGCCAGAUGACCCACCAUGGGUCAAAAGACAACUGCAAUUGCUUGACUUGGAAAUGGCCAAGCAAAGGCAUGCACUAGGUGUAUGUGAAUUUGGCAUGGAAAGAACAAGCCAACUCCACUUGUGGCAUGUCUUUUUCAGAAGCCCACAUGAAUGGUGGGAUAAUAGGCAAAAUAAGAAAAACUCACGGUUACCAGAUUUUAAGCACAAAUUUUCUGGUGAAGCACUUUGGAUGAGUGAAGAUGAUCCACCAUGGGUCGAAAGGCAGCUCCAGUUUCAUGAUUCCAAAAUGGCAAAACAAUGCCAAGCGGAAAAUAUCUUCAAAUGGAAUUUUGAUGGUGGGGAACUAAUCUAGAGGAUCUUUAAUAUUAAUGGAGUUAUAACACAACGUAGUUGCAUUUCUUCUUGUUUGUACAUAUUGACUGAAUACAAUGUACCAAAAAUCUCAUUGAUUGCUUAUGACUAGACGCCGGAGCUGAUUUAUAUUAAAGAUCCU
Molecule: unclassified non-coding RNA, 547 nt
Filed under: Hevea brasiliensis (rubber tree)
Lineage: Eukaryota; Viridiplantae; Streptophyta; Magnoliopsida; Malpighiales; Euphorbiaceae
Source: RNAcentral